RNAcentral lists this ribosomal RNA (244 nucleotides) under uncultured Actinomycetales bacterium. Its description in RNAcentral is "partial 16S ribosomal RNA". It matches the Rfam family "Bacterial small subunit ribosomal RNA", at positions 89 to 334 of the family's 1533-position model. The record is from RNAcentral. Lineage: Bacteria; Bacillati; Actinomycetota; Actinomycetes; Actinomycetales.
GCUCGAGUGGCGAACGGGUGAGUAACACGUGAGUAACCUGCCCUUGACUUUGGGAUAACUUCAGGAAACUGGGGCUAAUACCGGAUAGGAGCUCCUGCUGCAUGGUGGGGGUUGGAAAGUUUCGGCGGUUGGGGAUGGACUCGCGGCUUAUCAGCUUGUUGGUGGGGUAGUGGCCUACCAAGGCUUUGACGGGUAGCCGGCCUGAGAGGGUGAUCAGCCACAUCGGGACUGAGACACGGCCCGA